CUUUGGGUCUUGUAAACCCUAACAACAGAAGAAAAGGGAGAUAUCUUUGGAGGUGGGCGGCCACUAUUUAUAUUUAAGGUCUUCAAUUUUUCUCAUACAUCACAUCGUCAGUGAGGUUAUUGGAGACUGAAGUUUGAGAUGGCUGCUAUUUUAACUGCAUCAUCUGGUCCAAGCUAUGCACCAGAAGACCCCACUCUCCCCAAACCUUGGAAAGGCCUAGUUGAUGGUACAACAGGAUAUAUCUACUUCUGGAAUCCAGAGACCAAUGAUACCCAAUAUGAGAGGCCUGUUCACUCAUCCAAUGGAGUGUCUGCUCUAGCACAAAAGUCAGCUGUAUUUGUUAGUUCAUCUGUCCAAAAACCCUCUCAAGGUCAACAUUAUGAUCCAGACGGUAGGCAUAGCAGAGGUAGCAACAACAAGGUUACAUCCCUGAAGGGAGAUCAGAAUGCGAGAAGCAGUUCUGAUCAUCACGAAGGCUAUGAUUCUCUAGGUGUAGGAACUGACAUAUCUCAGGAAUCCUAUUGCCGCCACAAUGAGAUCUCUGUUACGGGAGGUGAUGUUCCUGCACCUUUGACAUCAUUUGAAGCGACUGGGUUUCCUUCAGAGAUUGUGAGGGAGAUGCGUCAAGCUGGGUUUUCAGCUCCUACUCCAAUUCAGGCACAAUCGUGGCCUGUUGCCCUUCAGGGCCGUGACAUAGUAGCUAUUGCCAAGACUGGGUCUGGGAAAACUUUGGGUUACUUAAUUCCAGGCUUUAUUCAUCUAAAAAAUCGCCGCAGUAAUCCUCAAUUAGGCCCAACUAUUUUGGUUCUCUCACCAACAAGAGAGUUAGCGACACAGAUACAAGCUGAAGCUGUGAAGUUUGGGAAAUCCUCUAGGAUAUCUUGCACGUGCUUGUAUGGAGGUGCUCCAAAAGGUCCUCAACUUCGAGAGUUGAGUAGGGGUGUAGAUAUUGUUGUCGCCACUCCUGGUCGUUUGAACGACAUAUUGGAAAUGAGAAGGCUUAGUCUUGGUCAAGUUUCUUACCUGGUGUUAGAUGAAGCAGAUCGUAUGCUGGACAUGGGAUUUGAACCUCAGAUAAGAAAGAUUGUGAAAGAGGUGCCUAAGCAGAGGCAGACAUUGAUGUAUACAGCUACAUGGCCAAAGGGGGUUCGUAAGAUUGCAGCUGAUCUAUUGGUUAAUUCAGUUCAGGUUAAUAUUGGUAAUGUUGACGAGCUUGCUGCAAACAAGUCUAUAACACAGCACAUUGAAGUCUUGUCUUCGAUGGAGAAACAACGGCGACUAGAACAAAUUUUGAGAUCCAAUGAACCAGGGUCAAAGAUCAUUAUCUUCUGUUCAACAAAGAAAAUGUGUGACCAACUAUCUCGCAAUCUUACUCGCAACUUUGGAGCAGCUGCAAUUCAUGGGGAUAAAUCUCAGGGUGAGAGGGAUUAU
Molecule: unclassified non-coding RNA, 1431 nt
Filed under: Hevea brasiliensis (rubber tree)
Lineage: Eukaryota; Viridiplantae; Streptophyta; Magnoliopsida; Malpighiales; Euphorbiaceae
Source: RNAcentral